AUUGAACGCUGGCGGAAUGCUUUACACAUGCAAGUCGAGCGGCAGCGCGGCCUUCGGGCUGGCGGCGAGCGGCGAACGGGUGAGUAAUGCAUCGGAACAUGCCCAGUCGUGGGGGAUAACACUUCGAAAGAAGUGCUAAUACCGCAUACGUCCUGAGGGGGAAAGCGGGGGAUCGCAAGACCUCUCGCGAUUGGAGUGGCCGAUGUCAGAGUAGCUAGUUGGUGGGGUAAAGGCCUACCAAGGCGACGAUCUGUAGCUGGUCUGAGAGGAUGAUCAGCCACACUGGGACUGAGACACGGACCAGACUCCUACGGGAGGCAGGAGUGGGGAAUUUUGGACAAUGGGGGCAACCCUGAUCCAGCCAUUCCGCGUGAGCGAAGACGGCCUUCGGGUUGUAAAGCUCUUUCGGCAGGAACUAAACGGUGGGCUCUAACAGAGUCCGCUAAUGACGGUACCUGAAGAAGAAGUACCGGCUAACUACGU
This 483-nucleotide ribosomal RNA is filed under the name uncultured bacterium. RNAcentral's name for it is "partial 16S ribosomal RNA". It matches the Rfam family "Bacterial small subunit ribosomal RNA", at positions 29 to 506 of the family's 1533-position model. The record is from RNAcentral.